This 750-nucleotide ribosomal RNA is filed under the name uncultured organism. RNAcentral's name for it is "bacterial SSU rRNA". It matches the Rfam family "Bacterial small subunit ribosomal RNA", at positions 58 to 781 of the family's 1533-position model. The record is from RNAcentral.
CAAGUCGUGCGAGAAAGUCACCUUCGGGUGGUGAGUAAAGCGGCGAACGGGUGAGUAACACGUAAGAAACCUGCCCCUAAAUCCGGAAUAACAUUGCUAACGCGGUGCUAAUACCGGAUGUGGUCUCCAGUUUGCAUGAACAGGAGAUUAAAGGUGACCUCUACUUGUAAGUUAUCGUUUAGGGAUGGUCUUGCGGACCAUUAGCUUGUUGGCGGGGUAACGGCCCACCAAGGCUGCGAUGGUUAGCCGGCUUAAGAGGGUGAUCGGCCACAUUGGGACUGAGAUACGGCCCAGACUCCUACGGGAGGCAGCAGUAGGGAAUUUUGCGCAAUGGACGAAAGUCUGACGCAGCAACGCCGCGUGAGCGAUGAAGGUUUUCGGAUUGUAAAGCUCUGUUGAGUGGGACGAAAACUCUCCGGGAUAAUACCCUGGAGACUUGACGGUACCACUCGAGGAAGCCCCGGCUAAAUACGUGCCAGCAGCCGCGGUAAUACGUAUGGGGCAAGCGUUGUUCGGAAUCACUGGGCGUAAAGGGAGUGUAGGCGGAAAGGUAAGUUAGAAGUGUAAUCCACGGGCUUAACCCGUUGACUCGCUUUUAAUACUGCUUUUCUUGAGUAUGGGAGAGGGAGAUGGAAUUCCAGGUGUAGCGGUGGAAUGCGUAGAUAUCUGGAAGAACACCAGUAGCGAAGGCGGUCUCCUGUGCCAAUACUGACGCUGAGGCUCGAAAGCGUGGGGAGCGAACAGGAUUAG